RNAcentral lists this ribosomal RNA (633 nucleotides) under Triticum aestivum (bread wheat). Its description in RNAcentral is "partial small subunit ribosomal RNA". The record is from RNAcentral. Lineage: Eukaryota; Viridiplantae; Streptophyta; Magnoliopsida; Poales; Poaceae.
AUGGACGAGGAGGAGCACGAGGUGUACGGCCAGGAGAUCCCCGUGGACGGCGACAUGGAAGGCGCCGACGUCGACAUGGCCGCCGCCGGAGACGACGCAGCGAAGGAGCUCGACGAGAUGAAGCGUAGGCUCAAGGAGAUGGAGGAGGAGGCCGCCGCCCUGCGCGACAUGCAGGCCAAGGUCGCCAAGGAGAUGCAAGGAGGAGAUGCCAAUGCGUCUACAGCUGAGGCAAAAGAACAGGUUGAUGCCCGCUCUGUUUAUGUUGGAAAUGUUGAUUAUGCGUGUACACCAGAGGAAGUGCAGCAGCAUUUCCAAGCUUGUGGAACCGUCAACAGAGUGACAAUCUUGACCGACAAGUUUGGACAGCCAAAAGGCUUUGCUUAUGUGGAAUUUCUAGAACAAGAAGCCGUUCAGGAGGCUCUUAAUCUGAAUGAAUCUGAGUUGCAUGGUCGCCAGAUCAAGGUGUCACCAAAGAGGACUAACGUCCCUGGGAUGAAGCAGCGUCCUCCACGCGGAUUCAAUCCCUACCAUGCCUACCCUUAUAGAUCAUACGGGGCACCGUAUUUCCCACCGUACGGAUAUGGGAGAGUUCCCAGAUUCCGCCGGCCGACACGCUACAGGCCGUACUUCUGA